This 491-nucleotide ribosomal RNA is filed under the name Arthrobacter sp. hata46. RNAcentral describes it as "bacterial SSU rRNA". It matches the Rfam family "Bacterial small subunit ribosomal RNA", at positions 137 to 634 of the family's 1533-position model. Lineage: Bacteria; Bacillati; Actinomycetota; Actinomycetes; Micrococcales; Micrococcaceae. The record is from RNAcentral. RNAcentral also lists the same sequence under 1 other name.
UCUGGGAUAAGCCUGGGAAACUGGGUCUAAUACCGGAUAUGACUUCUCAUCGCAUGGUGGGGGGUGGAAAGCUUUUGUGGUUUUGGAUGGACUCGCGGCCUAUCAGCUUGUUGGUGGGGUAAUGGCCUACCAAGGCGACGACGGGUAGCCGGCCUGAGAGGGUGACCGGCCACACUGGGACUGAGACACGGCCCAGACUCCUACGGGAGGCAGCAGUGGGGAAUAUUGCACAAUGGGCGCAAGCCUGAUGCAGCGACGCCGCGUGAGGGAUGACGGCCUUCGGGUUGUAAACCUCUUUCAGUAGGGAAGAAGCCCUCUUUUGGGGGUGACGGUACUUGCAGAAGAAGCGCCGGCUAACUACGUGCCAGCAGCCGCGGUAAUACGUAGGGCGCAAGCGUUAUCCGGAAUUAUUGGGCGUAAAGAGCUCGUAGGCGGUUUGUCGCGUCUGCUGUGAAAGACCGGGGCUCAACUCCGGUUCUGCAGUGGGUACG